UACGGAGGGUGCGAGCGUUGUCCGGAAUCAUUGGGCGUAAAGGGCGCGUAGGUGGCCACUUCAAGCGUGCGGUGAAAGUCGGGGGCUCAACCCCUGAUCGGCCGUGCGAACUGGGGGGCUGGAGCACUGUAGAGGCAGGCGGAAUUCCGGGUGUAGCGGUGGAAUGCGUAGAGAUCGGGAGGAACACCAGUGGCGAAGGCGGUUGCCUGGGGCUUUGCUGACGCUGAUGCGCGAAAGCGUGGGGAGCGAUCCGG
Molecule: ribosomal RNA, 254 nt
Filed under: uncultured bacterium
Lineage: Bacteria
Description: partial 16S ribosomal RNA
Rfam family: Bacterial small subunit ribosomal RNA
Source: RNAcentral